UACGGAGGGGGCUAGCGUUGUUCGGAAUUACUGGGCGUAAAGCGCACGUAGGCGGUUUUGUAAGUUAGAGGUGAAAGCCCGGGGCUCAACCCCGGAAUAGCCUUUAAGACUGCAUCACUUGAACGUCGGAGAGGUGAGUGGAAUUCCGAGUGUAGAGGUGAAAUUCGUAGAUAUUCGGAAGAACACCAGUGGCGAAGGCGGCUCACUGGACGACUGUUGACGCUGAGGUGCGAAAGCGUGGGGAGCAAAC
RNAcentral lists this ribosomal RNA (250 nucleotides) under uncultured bacterium. RNAcentral describes it as "partial 16S ribosomal RNA". It matches the Rfam family "Bacterial small subunit ribosomal RNA", at positions 524 to 773 of the family's 1533-position model. The record is from RNAcentral.